AAUCGAAUAAAAUAACAAAGUUCCCAAAACUGGUGCACAAUUUGUGCUUUGUGCUAUGAAUGUCAAUGUGAAGAAAUUUAAUGAAGUGAAAGUAACACAGGGUAACUCUUGACCUUCAAGGUAGCCAAAUGCCUCACUGUCUGAAUAGUGAAGCCCACCAAUGAAUGAAUGAGAUU
Molecule: non-coding RNA, 176 nt
Filed under: Heterocephalus glaber (naked mole-rat)
Lineage: Eukaryota; Metazoa; Chordata; Mammalia; Rodentia; Bathyergidae
Description: Eukaryotic large subunit ribosomal RNA
Rfam family: Eukaryotic large subunit ribosomal RNA
Source: Rfam by way of RNAcentral